Molecule: long non-coding RNA, 277 nt
Organism: Triticum aestivum (bread wheat)
Lineage: Eukaryota; Viridiplantae; Streptophyta; Magnoliopsida; Poales; Poaceae
Exons: 3
Source: RefSeq, a predicted model, not a curated record
AUGAACUUCUGAUUAGAAUGUUUCUCUAAUGGUCUAAUUUAUGGUUCUGUUGUGCAGGACUCUUGGUUUCUGUGGUGGUGAAUUUUUUAUCUGUCCUUGGUAGAGAUUUGUAGGUUGAACCGGCCAGGGGAAUUAUGCCAAAAACUCUCCACAUUCUGCUGGUACUACAAGAGCAAAGAGGCACCAAGCAAAUCCUCAUAAGAGGGAUGAUGAGAUCAUUGAGGAGAGCAAUGUUACCACCAACAUUACUCACGGGGACAUAGCCAGCAAGAGACCA